GGGAGGGAUUUAAGAGAAAGGGCGUGAUCUUUUGGGAUUGGUCGGCGUUGGGACACAGGAGUGGGUCCGGAGAUAUAAUUAGUACCAGAAACAGGAGCAGCUUAAUGGCAGAGUGGGAGGGGCUUUGGAGAAGGGGCGUAGUUCUCUGAUAGGGCAGGGGGAGAACAGUAAGGGGGCGUCAUCUAAGGGAUUGGUCCUAGUGAGAGGGCUUGGUUUAGACUGGCAGAUGGGCAGGACUUCGGAGAAAUGGACAAAACCCAAUUGGGGAAGGGGGCAAAAGAACAGAUUGCUUAUCGGGGAGCUCUGCUUCCAAGGGCAUGGAGCCCUCUGCUGGGGCAUUCAACCAGGCUGUCCUUUCUCCACCUUCUCUAGGGCAGCCUGGAUAACAUGAUCUGCAUUCUGGUCUGCUUCACCGGGGUCCCAAGGCCUUGUGAGGAGGCAAUCAGGAAGGAGCUAGCACUGGACACAGCUCUGGGCCGCAGGGUCACCAGUGGGCAAGCUCUAGGAGCGCAGCGGGACGGGUGGUCGGCAAGCAGGGGUACCCAAAUAACCCUUGCCUCCUUGUCAGAGCUGUGUUCCUCUGUCCAGGAACCCCCAGCUUGAACAGGGUUUUCUAGACUCUGGCCUCAGAGGACAUCCCAGAUUUACCUCCUGGGGGAGGUCUGUACUGCAAGGCCUCUGUCAUCGCCGAAGUUUAUUCUCAGCUCUGCCAGGUCUCAGGGAAGCACUGGGAGGCAGGGUCUCUUCAUGAGGUAGCAGAGAGUUCCAGUUUCAGCCUCACAUCACCCAAGCCUAACAUCCUCAGUGGAGAGAAGGUACCAGUUCCCCAGUAGUUACAGCAGUGGUUUCAGAGCCGGUUCUCCUUGGCCACACUGGGUCACACGGCUGCCCAAGUCACUGUUGUCUCUGAUUGGCCAGGCUAUGGUCACAUGUCCAUCCUCGCUUAGGGUUGGGGGUCUACUGCAUCCAAACCUGAUGGAUUGAGAGAUGGGGAAUGGGGUCCCUCAAAGAAAACUAGGAGUGGUGCUUUCAGAAUAUAGGGGAAUAGAUACUGAGAAGAAAGUAAUAUACCAACUCAUACAUUUUUGUGUUACAGAAUGGGCAGAAUGGGGCUGGGAAGGCCACUGGCACUCAUUCAAGCUCUGCCUUGGACUUGGAGGCCUGACAGCUGUUGUCCUUUGGGGACCCUCUGCCCAACUGGGGCCCCAACAGAAUUAAGAAAACUCUCUUUCCCCAGCUACACAGACCAGCGGAAGGAAGACGAGCUGAUGGAGGAAACCCAGAAUGCUUAUUUCCUCUUCUCCUACUUCCCCGUCACAGAAAGUCUUAUGAGGGGAAGUUCCACCCACCAGCUACGGUAUGGGGGGGGGGAGGGGAGAAAAAAACCAAACCAUGGACCUUGGAGUUCCAGCGGUUCAAUAACCUUCUCUCCCCUCUCUAUUUUUCAUCUGUUUUGGGGGCAGGUGGAGGAGAAUUUUUAUUAUUAAAUGUUAAUUACAUGAUUCAAAAUACAUUUUUCUUAUAGAAAAAAAACUCCACAUUAUUUUCCCAGUCAUUUGGCAAAUAUAUAUUGGGCACCUGUUCAUGGCCAUCAACCAGGGGGACUCACUGAGAUCCGUGCCUAUUCUAGGGGCCCACCUAGUGUGUGUGUGUGGAAAGACAGCAAACAAGAGAACCAAUAAGUAAGGUCAUUUCAGACACUGACAAGUGUCUCAAGGGGAU
This is a long non-coding RNA of Hipposideros armiger (great roundleaf bat), 1722 nucleotides long. RefSeq lists it as uncharacterized. The record is from RefSeq and is a predicted model, not a curated record. NCBI's taxonomy places the organism in Eukaryota, Metazoa, Chordata, Mammalia, Chiroptera, Hipposideridae. The transcript is spliced from 3 exons.